Molecule: long non-coding RNA, 146 nt
Organism: Archocentrus centrarchus (flier cichlid)
Lineage: Eukaryota; Metazoa; Chordata; Actinopteri; Cichliformes; Cichlidae
Exons: 3
Source: RefSeq, a predicted model, not a curated record
GUGUCAGAAGUAAUUAGGUUAUAGAAACCAUCUGUGACUGAGGUCUGUAAAAUAAGAAAAUCCAGGAGAGGGAUGGAAUCUUUUCAGUCCAGGAUUUAUCUCCAAGGGAUAAGCAAUGAGUCCAGGUGGAGCAGAGACAGACAUGC